UAUGCUCUUUUUCUAGAGAAAUGUUUAAUUUUUGCAGAUUUUAUUCAAGUGACUUGUAGUUCCUUUAUAUUUGUUAAUAUUCUUGAAAGGGACCAGCUGCCUGCUGAGGAAUAAAUCAGGGAGUGGAAAUACUGAGUGAGAAAUUUUUACUUGGAUGUGUUGUCUCAAACACCCUGCCAUUCAAUAUGUUAUUUUCUUCACCCCAGACCUACUGCACUACAGCCUCUGGAGACAGAAAACUAUGUUAAGGAAUGAAGUAAAAGGGAGUGGAAAUAUUUGCAAGAGAUGAAAAGGGUCAAUUGACAGGGAUGGUGCCUCUGGAACAGAGGCUAUAGAAGAACUGGAGAAGAUUCCAUUUGAUAGUCACAGAAAAUACAUCAGGUACUAAAUGUUGCUGAUUUAAUCAACAUGAUAUUGAUGCUUACAGCUUUAACCCCUCAACCCCACAACAGCAGUGAAUGGCAUAAUAACACCAACGACCUCCUUUUGUAUUUGUUAGUGCCCUUAAAUCAAUGACAUUGGGGAAGAGAGGCUUUAGAUACUGAAUCUUUUUAUAUUUUUAAUGAAAUUUAUCUCUAUGCCCUGAUAUGUUCAGAUAUAUUUUAAUCAAUUUGUUAAGUAAUAUAGACAGAUGUCCAUGAACAGAAUUACAAAUUAUGCUAAGAAACACCAUACAUUGCACUGAUGUUUUUGGAAAUGUCAGUUUGUGCAUUUGACUACUGUAGUCUGCAAGUUCUCAUUGGAAGAGAAGACACUGUCAUUUUCAUCUUUGUAUACCCAGGGCCUAACA
Molecule: long non-coding RNA, 790 nt
Filed under: Oryctolagus cuniculus (rabbit)
Lineage: Eukaryota; Metazoa; Chordata; Mammalia; Lagomorpha; Leporidae
Description: lncRNA (ENSOCUG00000030812.1)
Source: RNAcentral